UUAAGCGACUAAGCGUACACGGUGGAUGCCCUGGCAGUCAGAGGCGAUGAAGGACGUGCUAAUCUGCGAAAAGCGUCGGUAAGGUGAUAUGAACCGUUAUAACCGGCGAUGUCCGAAUGGGGAAACCCAGUGUGAUUCGUCACACUAUCGUUAACUGAAUACAUAGGUUAACGAGGCGAACCGGGGGAACUGAAACAUCUAAGUACCCCGAGGAAAAGAAAUCAACCGAGAUUCCCCCAGUAGCGGCGAGCGAACGGGGAGCAGCCCAGAGUCUGAAUCAGCUUGUGUGUUAGUGGAACGGUCUGGAAAGUCCGACGGUACAGGGUGAUAGUCCCGUACACCAAAAUGCACAGGCUGUGAACUCGAAGAGUAGGGCGGGACACGUGGUAUCCUGUCUGAAUAUGGGGGGACCAUCCUCCAAGGCUAAAUACUCCUGACUGACCGAUAGUGAACCAGUACCGUGAGGGAAAGGCGAAAAGAACCCCGGCGAGGGGAGUGAAAAAGAACCUGAAACCGUGUACGUACAAGCAGUGGGAGCACCUUCGGGUGUGACUGCGUACCUUUUGUAUAAUGGGUCAGCGACUUAUAUUCUGUAGCAAGGUUAACCGUAUAGGGGAGCCGCAGGGAAACCGAGUCUUAACUGGGCGUUAAGUUGCAGGGUAUAGACCCGAAACCCGGUGAUCUAGCCAUGGGCAGGUUGAAGGUUGGGUAACACUAACUGGAGGACCGAACCGACUAAUGUUGAAAAAUUAGCGGAUGACUUGUGGCUGGGGGUGAAAGGCCAAUCAAACCGGGAGAUAGCUGGUUCUCCCCGAAAGCUAUUUAGGUAGCGCCUCGUGAAUUCAUCUUCGGGGGUAGAGCACUGUUUCGGCUAGGGGGUCAUCCCGACUUACCAACCCGAUGCAAACUACGAAUACCGAAGAAUGUUAUCACGGGAGACACACGGCGGGUGCUAACGUCCGUCGUGAAGAGGGAAACAACCCAGACCGCCAGCUAAGGUCCCAAAGUCAUGGUUAAGUGGGAAACGAUGUGGGAAGGCACAGACAGCCAGGAUGUUGGCUUAGAAGCAGCCAUCAUUUAAAGAAAGCGUAAUAGCUCACUGGUCGAGUCGGCCUGCGCGGAAGAUGUAACGGGGCUAAACCAUGCACCGAAGCUGCGGCAGCGACACUAUGUGUUGUUGGGUAGGGGAGCGUUCUGUAAGCCUGCGAAGGUGACCUGUGAGGGUUGCUGGAGGUAUCAGAAGUGCGAAUGCUGACAUAAGUAACGAUAAAGCGGGUGAAAAGCCCGCUCGCCGGAAGACCAAGGGUUCCUGUCCAACGUUAAUCGGGGCAGGGUGAGUCGACCCCUAAGGCGAGGCCGAAAGGCGUAGUCGAUGGGAAACAGGUUAAUAUUCCUGUACUUGGUGUUACUGCGAAGGGGGGACGGAGAAGGCUAUGUUAGCCGGGCGACGGUUGUCCCGGUUUAAGCAUGUAGGCUGGUUGUCCAGGCAAAUCCGGAUAAUCAAGGCUGAGGUGUGAUGACGAGGCACUACGGUGCUGAAGUAACAAAUGCCCUGCUUCCAGGAAAAGCCUCUAAGCAUCAGGUAACAUCAAAUCGUACCCCAAACCGACACAGGUGGUCAGGUAGAGAAUACCAAGGCGCUUGAGAGAACUCGGGUGAAGGAACUAGGCAAAAUGGUGCCGUAACUUCGGGAGAAGGCACGCUGGUGUGUAGGUGAAGUCCCUGCGGAUGGAGCUGAGACCAGUCGAAGAUACCAGCUGGCUGCAACUGUUUAUUAAAAACACAGCACUGUGCAAACACGAAAGUGGACGUAUACGGUGUGACGCCUGCCCGGUGCCGGAAGGUUAAUUGAUGGGGUUAUCCGUAAGGAGAAGCUCUUGAUCGAAGCCCCGGUAAACGGCGGCCGUAACUAUAACGGUCCUAAGGUAGCGAAAUUCCUUGUCGGGUAAGUUCCGACCUGCACGAAUGGCGUAAUGAUGGCCAGGCUGUCUCCACCCGAGACUCAGUGAAAUUGAACUCGCUGUGAAGAUGCAGUGUACCCGCGGCAAGACGGAAAGACCCCGUGAACCUUUACUAUAGCUUGACACUGAACAUUGAGCCUUGAUGUGUAGGAUAGGUGGGAGGCUUUGAAGCGUGGACGCCAGUCUGCGUGGAGCCAACCUUGAAAUACCACCCUUUAAUGUUUGAUGUUCUAACGUUGGCCCCUGACCGGGGUUGCGGACAGUGUCUGGUGGGUAGUUUGACUGGGGCGGUCUCCUCCCAAAGCGUAACGGAGGAGCACGAAGGUUAGCUAAUCCUGGUCGGACAUCAGGAGGUUAGUGCAAUGGCAUAAGCUAGCUUGACUGCGAGCGUGACGGCGCGAGCAGGUGCGAAAGCAGGUCAUAGUGAUCCGGUGGUUCUGAAUGGAAGGGCCAUCGCUCAACGGAUAAAAGGUACUCCGGGGAUAACAGGCUGAUACCGCCCAAGAGUUCAUAUCGACGGCGGUGUUUGGCACCUCGAUGUCGGCUCAUCACAUCCUGGGGCUGAAGUAGGUCCCAAGGGUAUGGCUGUUCGCCAUUUAAAGUGGUACGCGAGCUGGGUUUAGAACGUCGUGAGACAGUUCGGUCCCUAUCUGCCGUGGGCGCUGGAGAAUUGAGGGGGGCUGCUCCUAGUACGAGAGGACCGGAGUGGACGCAUCACUGGUGUUCGGGUUGUCAUGCCAAUGGCACUGCCCGGUAGCUAAAUGCGGAAGAGAUAAGUGCUGAAAGCAUCUAAGCACGAAACUUGCCCCGAGAUGAGUUCUCCCUGAGACUUUAAGUCUCCUGAAGGAACGUUAAAGACGAUGACGUUGAUAGGCCGGGUGUGUAAGCGCAGCGAUGCGUUGAGCUAACCGGUACUAAUGAACCGUGAGGCUUAACCUU
This 2900-nucleotide ribosomal RNA is filed under the name Klebsiella pneumoniae. RNAcentral's name for it is "bacterial LSU rRNA". It matches the Rfam family "Bacterial large subunit ribosomal RNA". Lineage: Bacteria; Pseudomonadati; Pseudomonadota; Gammaproteobacteria; Enterobacterales; Enterobacteriaceae. The record is from RNAcentral.